GAAAGCAGUAAACUGUAAUUGUUCAAAGAAAUAACAAGUCUUGGGAAAUAUGGAUGUAAGGGUGGAAAGAAUCUCAUUUCAUUUGCUCCCCUGAUUAGCAUACAUUAAACCAUGCAGAAUUACUAUAUCCUCUCUGCGUAAUGAAUAAAUCUAUCAAAACCAGCGAAAUGCCCUGCAAUCAGGAUAGCUAGGACUUGGGCUGUUCAAAAAGGGUUUUGUUAGCCCAUCUGAAAUAGGUAUGGAAGCACGCUGUACUUCUUCAUCGCAGGCAUGUCCCAUUUCAGUCCAUACUGCACAGAGUGGUUUGGGCCAGAUAAUAUAACCCAAGUUUGGUAGAGGUGUGUUUGGGUCUGACCAUAUGACCUAGGUUUGAACAACUAACUGAGACCAGGGAACACUAGGAACAACUGAACCUGGUUUGUACUAAAGGGAAGUUAAACAGCAUAUCCUGGCUUACAGUAAUGCACACAAAUUGGCAAACAGAAACCCAAGAAUGCUACUACCGGUGUAUUCUCUGGAAAAUCACAGUCCAAGGCAAGUGACCUACUGAUCUAAGACCCCAAGCUCAGAUGGACAAGUUGCUGGCUCACCAUAACAAUAUUUGUAGUUAAAUGCUAAUUUGGUCACUUUGGUGGUACAUACCCGGAUCAGAAUGUUACAAGCUUGACUAAAAA
Aegilops tauschii subsp. strangulata is the source of this 674-nucleotide non-coding RNA. The record is from RefSeq and is a predicted model, not a curated record. NCBI's taxonomy places the organism in Eukaryota, Viridiplantae, Streptophyta, Magnoliopsida, Poales, Poaceae.